UUAGAGUUUUGAUUCUGGCUCAGGACGAACGCUGGCGGCGUGCCUAAUACAUGCAAGUCGAGCGGACAGAAGGGAGCUUGCUCCCGGAUGUUAGCGGCGGACGGGUGAGUAACACGUGGGUAACCUGCCUGUAAGACUGGGAUAACUCCGGGAAACCGGAGCUAAUACCGGAUAGUUCCUUGAACCGCAUGGUUCAAGGAUGAAAGACGGUUUCGGCUGUCACUUACAGAUGGACCCGCGGCGCAUUAGCUAGUUGGUGGGGUAAUGGCUCACCAAGGCGACGAUGCGUAGCCGACCUGAGAGGGUGAUCGGCCACACUGGGACUGAGACACGGCCCAGACUCCUACGGGAGGCAGCAGUAGGGAAUCUUCCGCAAUGGACGAAAGUCUGACGGAGCAACGCCGCGUGAGUGAUGAAGGUUUUCGGAUCGUAAAGCUCUGUUGUUAGGGAAGAACAAGUGCGAGAGUAACUGCUCGCACCUUGACGGUACCUAACCAGAAAGCCACGGCUAACUACGUGCCAGCAGCCGCGGUAAUACGUAGGUGGCAAGCGUUGUCCGGAAUUAUUGGGCGUAAAGGGCUCGCAGGCGGUUUCUUAAGUCUGAUGUGAAAGCCCCCGGCUCAACCGGGGAGGGUCAUUGGAAACUGGGAAACUUGAGUGCAGAAGAGGAGAGUGGAAUUCCACGUGUAGCGGUGAAAUGCGUAGAGAUGUGGAGGAACACCAGUGGCGAAGGCGACUCUCUGGUCUGUAACUGACGCUGAGGAGCGAAAGCGUGGGGAGCGAACAGGAUUAGAUACCCUGGUAGUCCACGCCGUAAACGAUGAGUGCUAAGUGUUAGGGGGUUUCCGCCCCUUAGUGCUGCAGCUAACGCAUUAAGCACUCCCG
This 885-nucleotide ribosomal RNA is filed under the name Bacillus atrophaeus. RNAcentral's name for it is "bacterial SSU rRNA". It matches the Rfam family "Bacterial small subunit ribosomal RNA", at positions 1 to 871 of the family's 1533-position model. Lineage: Bacteria; Bacillati; Bacillota; Bacilli; Caryophanales; Bacillaceae. The record is from RNAcentral.